UUGCCCUUUUUAAGCAGGGC
RNAcentral lists this microRNA (20 nucleotides) under Chlamydomonas reinhardtii. Its description in RNAcentral is "cre-miR1160.1". The record is from miRBase by way of RNAcentral. Lineage: Eukaryota; Viridiplantae; Chlorophyta; Chlorophyceae; Chlamydomonadales; Chlamydomonadaceae.